AAGGUAGCAUAAUCAUUAGUUUCUUAAUUAGAAGCUGGAAUGAAGGGUCGAAUGAGAGAAUAGCUGUCUCUAUUUAAAUUUAUUAGAAUUUUAUUUUUAAGUUAAAAAGCUUAAAUUUUUAUUGAAGACGAGAAGACCCUAUAGAGUUUUAUAAAUUUGGCUAUAAAAAAUUUUAGUAUUAUAAAAGUUUAUUGUUGUGUUUAUUUAGUUGGGGUGAUUGAAAAAUUAAUAAAACUUUUUUUUUAUUUUAACACUAAUUUGUGAUUAGUUGAUCCUUUUUUUAAGAUUAAAAGAUAAAAUUAC
Molecule: ribosomal RNA, 303 nt
Filed under: Rhinusa melas
Lineage: Eukaryota; Metazoa; Arthropoda; Insecta; Coleoptera; Curculionidae
Description: partial 16S ribosomal RNA
Source: RNAcentral